Molecule: long non-coding RNA, 215 nt
Organism: Pungitius pungitius (ninespine stickleback)
Lineage: Eukaryota; Metazoa; Chordata; Actinopteri; Perciformes; Gasterosteidae
Exons: 3
Source: RefSeq, a predicted model, not a curated record
GCCGUCAACUAUCGGGUGGCACAGCUCGCCAUGGACAACUCAAAGAGUGCAGCACUUAGUCAUUUUGACUUUAUAAUGUGGCACAGAGACUGGAUCAUUAACAAAAAUGUCAAUGACCGGCUUGUUCGUCUUCUCCCUGAUGUUGAGUUGAUCCUUCUGCCAAGACUUGUGGGUCACAUCAACAAAGAGACUGGCAACCACUUCAUCCUAUGGGU